Alnus glutinosa is the source of this 1155-nucleotide RNA transcript. RefSeq lists it as uncharacterized. The record is from RefSeq and is a predicted model, not a curated record. The transcript has 6 exons. NCBI's taxonomy places the organism in Eukaryota, Viridiplantae, Streptophyta, Magnoliopsida, Fagales, Betulaceae.
GCAGAGCCCGAUGAAGAAGGAGGAGGAGGAUAAGAGGUUGGUGGGGAAUCAGAGUAUGUGAAGCAAGAGGUGGAGUAAAACGACGUCGUAGAAGAGGAAGAAGAAGAGGAGAGUGAUGGGAAAGGUAGAAAGGAAGGAGGAAGAUGUGAAGCAAAGGGUAAGAGGUGAAGAGAGUGGCGGUUCUGUAUCAGAAGGAGAUGUCAGCAUUGCAGAGGAAGAAGAGAAUGAAGAAGAAAAAGAAGAGGAGAGUAGUGGAUGAGGAAGCAAAAGAAGAGGUUUACUUCGUAAACCUGAUAGAGUGGGUACGCUGCCAGUAUUUGGGAUGCAAGGAGAACCUUCGUAUUCUUGCAACUAAACAACUCUUAGUGAUUUGUAUUGCGUAGAAGGGGAUAAAGCUGUCUUUCUUAUGGCUGCACUGUCACAUGUGAUAGAUGGAGAUGGCCCACAAAAUUAAACAUCAUCAGUUACGGGGAGCUCCAGAUGACUCUUCACAGAAAGAGAAGUGGUGCAAACAUGGGCAAGAAGGUGAGCAAGUUACUUCAGGUCUUCAUAUUAUCGGCUCACUGGAUUCAGACGAGCUAAAGAAGAAAGGGAAGCGGUAGAAGAAAGGAGGUUCUUGUUCCACUUUCAGAUGCUCUUGUGAAAUUAUUAGGUACCGGUGAAAAUGCAUUAUCUCGGGCUGAUGUUGUAAAGAGAAUGUGGGAUUACAUAAAAACAGAAUGAUCUGCAGGACCCAUCUAAUAAGAGGUGUGAAGAUAAAGCAUAAAGAACCUUUUGAGGUGGACUCCUGCACUGGCUUCACUUUCAAAGCUUCCGACCCCGCAUUUCAACUAGACAGAAUAGGGAGUUAUAAAAUGUGAGCCCAAGACAUAAGAGUUUGUUAUGCAUUUCCUAUUUUAGACCCUUUUCUUCCUUCUUUUGGGGGGCUUUUCUCCAGUGCCAACUGAUCAGUGGGGUUGUGGGGGAGAGCAUCACCUAGAAUUUAUACAGGGACCAUUAGAAGGUGGAUAGAUAAGAAGUAAACUCACACAUUGAAAGCAUGUUUAAGUGCAUUGUCAUCUUUUAGGGAACUCAAGGUCAAGGAGACCUUCAUACUCUGUUUGAUCCUUUUGCAACAGAAUCUAUUUAUCUAAAAUGUGACCAAUUCAUUAUCAA